UCUCGGGAGAUAUUGCUACAAAGUUUGUAAAGUCAAAUGAUCAGCUUGCAGACAUUUUCACCAAGUCCCUCACUGGUCAUCGUAUUAACUACAUUUGUAACAAGCUCGGUACAUAUGAUUUAUAUACACCAGCUUGAGGGAGAGUGUUAGAAUAUGUAAAUAGUAGUAAAAUAACUCUAAUCCAAUAUGUAUUAGGAUUAGGAUAUGUUAUGUGUAUAUAUAGGGCUCAUUGUAUCAUAUUUAGUAUCAAUUAUUAUAUUUCUCUCGUGCUUUCUCACAGUUGUUUUGAAAUUUUAAAAUCAAGAUUCCAUAAAAGAUCAAACUUUUUAGUACCAAAUUCAAAUGGAGUGAAGAAUCAAUUAAAACAAACCCAUUACUUUCAAGAAAUUCAAAUACAACAAAGUGGGGUUGGUAAAAAAGAAAAAACUAUAGGCGCUAUGUGAUACUUACGGAUUCUAAAUAGGAAUAAGCGGCUUUACGGGCAUCAGGAGAAGAGUUCCAAUCAAGGGCAGCCACAAUAGCUCGAGCUACAUUGCUUGCUGUACCAUUUUCCUCCAUCUCUUUUAGCUGUUAAUUAAUGCUUCAAUAGAUUCUUGAAGUUGUACGGUAUUCACCUUUGAAAAGAGUUUUAAAAAGGAAGAUAGAAAAAACUGAAAAGAGGGUUUUAAGCAAAUAUGUCAGUUAUUUGCAUAGAACUGUGAUGGUGGACAUAGUGGGGAGAGAGGAAAGGUGCUGAGUAAUUUUGGGGACCAAUGUUUCUCUUAUUUAUUCUUUUCUUUCUCCUUUGGUUUGAAUUGUUUACUCAGGUCCUCCCAUUGUUUCCUAUUUUCUUCUUCUCCCCUUUAUAGAAUCUUCAGAUGAUUUGCUCUUAACUUUCUUAUAUUUU
RNAcentral lists this long non-coding RNA (886 nucleotides) under Nicotiana benthamiana. Its description in RNAcentral is "long non-coding RNA (NBEN_LNC030622)". The record is from RNAcentral. Lineage: Eukaryota; Viridiplantae; Streptophyta; Magnoliopsida; Solanales; Solanaceae.